This 305-nucleotide ribosomal RNA is filed under the name uncultured bacterium. RNAcentral's name for it is "bacterial SSU rRNA". It matches the Rfam family "Bacterial small subunit ribosomal RNA", at positions 334 to 655 of the family's 1533-position model. The record is from RNAcentral.
CAUACCCACGGGAGGCAGCAGUGGGGAAUAUUGCACAAUGGGGGAAACCCUGAUGCAGCGACGCCGCGUGAGCGAAGAAGUAUUUCGGUAUGUAAAGCUCUAUCAGCAGGGAAGAAAAAUGACGGUACCUGAGUAAGAAGCACCGGCUAAACACGUGCCAGCAGCCGCGGUAAUACGUAUGGUGCAAGCGUUAUCCGGAUUUACUGGGUGUAGAGGGAGCGCAGGCGGUGCGGCAAGUCUGAUGUGAAAGCCCGGGGCCCAACCCCGGGACUGCAUUGGAAACUACCGAACUAGAGUGUCGGAGG